Molecule: ribosomal RNA, 508 nt
Filed under: uncultured bacterium
Lineage: Bacteria
Description: partial 16S ribosomal RNA
Rfam family: Bacterial small subunit ribosomal RNA
Source: RNAcentral
GACGAACGCUGGCGGCGUGCCUAAUACAUGCAAGUCGAACGCUUCUUUCCUCCCGAGUGCUUGCACUCAAUUGGAAAGAGGAGUGGCGGACGGGUGAGUAACACGUGGGUAGCCUACCCAUCAGAGGGGGAUAACACUUGGAAACAGGUGCUAAUACCGCAUAACAGUUUAUGCCGCAUGGCAUAAGAGUGAAGGGCGCUUUCGGGUGUCGCUGAUGGAUGGACCCGCGGUGCAUUAGCUAGUUGGUGAGGUAACGGCUCACCAAGGCCACGAUUCAUAGGCGGACUGAGAGGGGGAUUCGGCACACCGGGACUUAGACACCGGCCAAACCCCUACGGGAGGGAGCAGGGGGGAAUUCUGCGGAAUGGGCGGAAGUCUGAACCAGCCAAGCCGCGGGAGGGAAGAAGGUGUUUGGAUUGGAAAACCUUUUUUGUUGGGAAGAAAAAGAGACGUUUGAAACCGAACGGCCCUGGCGGGACUUAAACAAGAAGCCCCGGCUAACUUCGGG